Molecule: RNA transcript, 2443 nt
Organism: Daktulosphaira vitifoliae (grape phylloxera)
Lineage: Eukaryota; Metazoa; Arthropoda; Insecta; Hemiptera; Phylloxeridae
Gene: NfI
Gene name: nuclear factor 1 X-type
Exons: 15
Source: RefSeq, a predicted model, not a curated record
AGUCUUGUCCGCGAGUUGGUGCCGGCCGUGUUAUUGACCACAACAGCUAAUACGUGUGGUGUUAGUUGCGCGCGCCCGUUGAAAACUGUGCGUUUUUUCUUUGAUUUUUAUCAACAAUCUUGAGUCUUCUCUGUUCGACCGCGUGUGUCUGUGGUGAUAUGAAUUUCAAAAAUAGGAGUACUUGACCAGUUGGGGUUCCCACGCCUGGUUUGGGGUAACAGUCAAAUGUAUCAGUGCGGCACUUACCCUUCUCCCUCGGCCAUCGUACACGGAUACCCGCAAACGUCAAAUUGGCAUCCUCAGUGUUAUCCUCACAAGGAUGAGUUCCAUCCAUUUAUCGAGGCUCUGUUGCCCAAUGUAAAAGCUUUUUCGUACACAUGGUUCAACUUGCAAGCGGCCAAACGCAAGUAUUUCAAAAAACAUGAAAAACGGAUGUCGCUGGAAGAGGAGAGACGCUGCAAGGAGGAGCUUAUGAACGAAAAGCCCGAAGUUAAACAAAAAUGGGCGUCCAGGCUUUUAGGAAAACUUCGGAAAGACAUAACUCAAGAAUGUCGGGAAGAUUUCGUGCUGAGCAUUACAGGGAAAAAGCCGGCCAUGUGCGUGUUGUCGAAUCCUGACCAGAAAGGUAAAAUGCGUCGCAUCGAUUGUCUACGGCAAGCGGAUAAGGUAUGGAGAUUGGAUUUGGUGAUGGUUAUUUUAUUUAAAGCCAUUCCACUGGAAAGCACCGACGGAGAACGUUUGGAAAAGUCACCAGAGUGUACACACCCUAGUCUGUGCGUGAACCCUUACCACAUAAAUGUGUCUGUUCGUGAAUUAGACCUAUACUUAGCCAAUUAUAUUAAUAGUCACGAAGUUUUAAGUGGAAUUUAUGACAACAACAAUGAAAAAGGCUAUUCUCACAACCCUUAUAACGGUGUGGUAUGCAAUGAUAACAUUUUAGCGACCGGCGUUUUUUCGUCCAAAGAACUUUGGAGACUAUCCAAAGCCUCUAUAAUUCAAAAUCCAAACGGUAUGCCACCGAUGAACAUUAUCAAAAUCGAAAACCCAGGGUACUAUUGCAGCAGUUUUACCCCACCGGGUGACCAUUCUUCCAUUAUGGCAUCGGGAAGUUACAGUCCUAUGUCAAUACAAAGAACUCAAAGCCCACUAAAUGAACCGCGGAUAAAACGAAUGCGAAGAAUGAGUUCAGCAGAUGAUACGGAAAUCGAUUUGGGUGGUCCUAGAGAAAAGUCCAAUUCGGAAAUUACUUAUUAUAGUCAAAGUCCUGCAUCAUUAUCUAGUCAAACAAGUUGGCAUUCGGAUAUCGAUCACGGUAUUCCUGGUCAGCAUACUGGAAGUAUAGCGUCCUUGGCUUCCACCAACUACUACGGUUCGACCACAUCCGGACCAGAACAACACAGUCCUGCAAAGUACCCAGAAAAUGGGCACGACACUCUUUCAGAUUUUGUCACUUUUGUGUGUCAGGAGGCUGAGAGUUCUCAAGGAGCACAGGGAUGGGCCUAUGGAAAUCAGGCCGGUCCUACACGAAGUCCCAAAAUGGCUCAAUACUAUCCUAGCACUAUGUUGCCACCACCUCCUCCACCUCCGAUGGCCCGUCCAGUAGCCAUCAUACGAUCUACAGGUGAACUUACAAUUGCACCUUCAAAUUCGCCUCCAACUUCAAAUACAUCACCAAUGGGCGGCGAUGGAUCACCUGGUGGUCGAGACUCAGACCAUAGCCCUCCACCGAUGGGCAGUCAGCUAUCUGAAGGUCAACUGUCAUCCAGUGGUCGGAGUGUGGUGACCAGCAGCCCUUUCACAGUGGCUUCAAACAGGGACUACCAUUUCUCCCAUAUUCAACACGGCCAGUUGUUCAGUUAUUCAAACUUGGGAUCCGUAAAUACAGUGUCUGGAGUGAUAAGUCCUACCAAUUUAAGUCUUUUGACAAACGCUGGCAGUACAAGUCCAACAUCAAACCGAUCGCGAAGUCAUUCACAGACCACAUUACCACGAUGGAAUUCUCAAUGUACAACAUCACCUUUUAUCACACUCGAAGAAGAGUACAUGAUGACACCUCUAAUGACCAGCAGUAACGGUCAGGGCAACGGUGGUUCCCUCAUAGAUGAUGGGUGGAUACUUUCAACUUUUGUUUCGAAAGAAUAAAUUGAACCUUAUACUGUGCGUUGAAUUAAAAUUCUUACUCAAGUUAAAGUAUUAUCAAAGAAACAGAUAUUUCAAUAGUGUAGUUCAUCAAACGACCGAAGGGUUAGAUCGGAUGGAUACAAAUGAACCUCAACACAUUCAAUCUUCAAAUUCUUGUGGCCGUAACAGUCCCAACGUGACCGAUGGCUCUCAAGACAACAUAAAUAAAACGCAGUCUUGAUUUUUAAAUUGAAGACAAUUGAUUAAAUAUAGGAAAUUUAUUUUAGUUAAUUAUUCAUGGUUAUUAUUAUUAUUAUUAUUA